Molecule: ribosomal RNA, 253 nt
Filed under: uncultured bacterium
Lineage: Bacteria
Description: partial 16S ribosomal RNA
Rfam family: Bacterial small subunit ribosomal RNA
Source: RNAcentral
UACGUAGGGUGCGAGCGUUAAUCGGAAUUAUUGGGCGUAAAGCGUGCGCAGGCGGCUUCGCAAGUCAGACGUGAAAUCCCCGGGCUUAACCUGGGAAUGGCGUUUGAAACUACGGAGCUGGAGUGUGGCAGAGGGAGGUAGAAUUCCACGUGUAGCGGUGAAAUGCGUAGAUAUGUGGAGGAAUACCGAUGGCGAAGGCAGCCUCCUGGGCCAACACUGACGCUCAUGCACGAAAGCGUGGGGAGCAAACAGG